This 1720-nucleotide ribosomal RNA is filed under the name human gut metagenome. RNAcentral describes it as "bacterial LSU rRNA". It matches the Rfam family "Bacterial large subunit ribosomal RNA", at positions 1195 to 2925 of the family's 2925-position model. The record is from RNAcentral.
CGAAGCUGCGGAUUUGUAGGAAUACAAGUGGUAGGGGAGCGUUCUAUGCAGCGUAGAAGCCAUAUCGUGAGGAGUGGUGGAGCGCAUAGAAGUGAGAAUGCCGGUGUGAGUAGCGAGAUGUAGGUGAGAAUCCUACACACCGAUAGCCCAAGGAUUCCAGGGGAAGGUUCGUCCGCCCUGGGUAAGUCGGGACCUAACGCGAGGCCGAAAGGCGUAGUGGAUGGAAAACAGGCAGAUAUUCCUGUACCCGCGAUGGAAAUGAAGGAAUGACGGAGAAGGCUAGUGUGAGCCACUGAAUGGAUUGUGGUCGAAGCAUAUAGCAGGCUGACAGUGAAAUGCGUCAGCGGGAUGUAAGAUGUGACAGGUAAGGGAACGUCCUUGGACAAGUACUGAAGCACAUGAUGCCAGCUUCCAAGAAAAGUUUCUAGUGAUAAUUCCAUAGCGGCCCGUACCAAAACCGACACAGGUGGGCAAGGAGAGGAUCCUGAGGUGAGCGAGAGAACUGUUGCCAAGGAACUCGGCAAAAUGACUCCGUAAGUUAGCGAUAAGGAGUGCUCUUGUAAAAGAGAGCCGCAGUGAAGAGGCCCAAGCGACUGUUUAACUAAAACACAGCUCUCUGCAAAGUCGCAAGACGAAGUAUAGGGGGUGACGCCUGCCCGGUGCUGGAAGGUUAAGAGGAUUUGUCAGUAGCGAUACGAAGCAAUGAAUUGAAGCCCCAGUGAACGGCGGCCGUAACUAUAACGGUCCUAAGGUAGCGAAAUUCCUUGUCAGGUAAGUUCUGACCCGCACGAAAGGCGUAACGAUUUGGGCGCUGUCUCGGCAGCAGACUCGGUGAAAUCUUAGUACCUGUGAAAAUGCAGGUUACCCGCAACUAGACGGAAAGACCCCAUGGAGCUUUACUGCAGCCUGAUAUUGAGUUUCGAUCAGAGAUGUACAGGAUAGGUGGGAGACAAAGAGACAUGCACGCCAGUGUAUGAGGAGUCGCUGUUGGGAUACCACUCUUGUCUGAUUGGAAUUCUAACCUGCAUCCCUAAGCGGGAUGAGGGACCGUGUCAGGUGGGCAGUUUGACUGGGGCGGUCGCCUCCCAAAGAGUAACGGAGGCGCCCAAAGGUACGCUCAGAUUGGAUGGAAAUCAAUCGACGAGUGCAAAUGCAGAAGCGUGCUUGACUGCGAGACAAACAGGUCGAGCAGGGACGAAAGUCGGGAUUAGUGAUCCGGCGGUGCCGAAUGGAAGGGCCGUCGCUCAACGGAUAAAAGCUACCCUGGGGAUAACAGGCUGAUCUCGCCCAAGAGUUCACAUCGACGGCGAGGUUUGGCACCUCGAUGUCGGCUCAUCGCAUCCUGGAGCUGAAUUCGGUUCCAAGGGUUGGGCUGUUCGCCCAUUAAAGCGGUACGCGAGCUGGGUUCAGAACGUCGUGAGACAGUUCGGUCCCUAUCUGUCGUGGGCGUAGGAAGUUUGAGAAGAUCUGUCCUCAGUACGAGAGGACCGGGAUGGACAUAUCAAUGGUGCACCAGUUGUCACGCCAGUGGCACAGCUGGGUAGCUAAAUAUGGAAGGGAUAAACGCUGAAGGCAUCUAAGUGUGAAACCCACUUCAAGAUGAGACUUCCCAUUACGCAAGUAAGUAAGACCCCUUAAAGACGAUAAGGUUGAUAGGUCAGGAGUGUAAGCAUGGCGACAUGUUCAGCGGACUGAUACUAAUAGGUCGAGGACUUAACCU